This 758-nucleotide ribosomal RNA is filed under the name uncultured soil bacterium. Its description in RNAcentral is "bacterial SSU rRNA". It matches the Rfam family "Bacterial small subunit ribosomal RNA", at positions 34 to 770 of the family's 1533-position model. The record is from RNAcentral.
CGCUGGCGGCGUGCCUCAGACAUGCAAGUCGAACGAGAAAGUCCCCUUCGGGGGAUAAGUAAAGUGGCGCACGGGUGAGUAACACGUAGGUAAUCUACCUUCGGGUGGGGAAUAACCCAGGGAAACUUGGGCUAACACCGCAUAAUGCAGCGGCACCACAUGGUGACAGUUGUUAAAGCGGGGGAUUUUCGGACCUCGCGCCUGAAGAGGAGCCUGCGGCGGAUUAGCUAGUUGGUAAGGUAACGGCUUACCAAGGCGACGAUCCGUAGCCGGCCUGAGAGGGCGGUCGGCCACACUGACACUGACAUACGGGUCAGACUCCUACGGGAGGCAGCAGUCGGGAAUUUUGGGCAAUGGGCGAAAGCCUGACCCAGCAACGCCGCGUGAAGGAUGAAAUCCCUCGGGAUGUAAACUUCGCAAGAAUGGGAAGAAUUAGCGAGCGCUAAUACCGCUCGUGAUGACGGUACCAUUUGUAAGCUCCGGCUAACUCCGUGCCAGCAGCCGCGGUAAUACGGGGGGAGCAAGCGUUGUUCGGAUUUACUGGGCGUAAAGGGCGCGUAGGCGGUCAGCACAAGUCAGUUGUGAAGUCUCCGGGCUUAACUCGGAAAGGUCAACUGAUACUGUGCGACUAGAGUGCGGAAGGGGCAACUGGAAUUCUCGGUGUAGCGGUGAAAUGCGUAGAUAUCGAGAGGAACACCUGCGGCGAAGGCGGGUUGCUGGGCCGACACUGACGCUGAGGCGCGAAAGCCAGGGGAGCG